AUGAUAAAAACAAACCAUUGGACUGAAAAGCAAAAGCAAGAUGUAGCCUAAAAAUUAGUAGAUAACAUGUGGCCUUAGGCGGUUGCCUUUUUUCCAAAGGAGUAGGCAUGGCACUGCUUGCCCUAUUUCCAAUUAUCAAGGUAUAAAAGAAAACAAAAUUCGAUAACGGUUUGGUUUUAAUCUAUUUUGGUUUUGGAUUGUGAAAGUGGGAUUUGGUGAAUUGGUGGUUGCCUCCGAUGAAACUGUCACGUUUCUGUUGUUUUGCAGCUGUUGCAUCCGGAAAAACUGCUACAUCUAUGUAUCACAAAAUCAAAGAAGCUGAUCAAGGUUUUUACGAAGGGAAGCCUUAUAUAUAGGAUUGAAACAAAUGGAGCAAUGAGAGAUACAAUUUGGAGCCAUGAUGAAUCAUCACUGUCGAGGUAGAGAUGGAGAUAACACAAGCGUGAAUAGUUUGAUCUGCGAAUUAACGCAUCAACUGGGCGAGAUUCAGAUUGGUGUAAUCUUUCAUUCCAUAGUUUAUAAAUGGUUUGCAAGAGGAUUGUUUUCUUAA
Arabidopsis lyrata subsp. lyrata is the source of this 550-nucleotide long non-coding RNA. RefSeq lists it as uncharacterized. NCBI's taxonomy places the organism in Eukaryota, Viridiplantae, Streptophyta, Magnoliopsida, Brassicales, Brassicaceae. The record is from RefSeq and is a predicted model, not a curated record. The transcript has 3 exons.